CUGUCGCUAAGAUCGCACACACUUAGUGCAAAAGGUAUUUAACGUUAAAUUCAACUAAUAGUUUAAGUAUUGGUAAUACCAAAGGUCAAUUUGUAGUUUAUUUUAUUUUAUAAAAAUAACUGUGACGUUGUAAUUACCCAAUGCUUUGGGGCUAUAAUCGCAAUUAUGGCGAUCUCGUUGCGAAUAUAACGCGUUUUCCAGCAAUACACGUAAUUAACACGCCUCGGCGCCACCACACGCACACGUGGGAAACUAACCAAACAAAAUGAGAAACAACAAAGCCGCCGAAAACAAAGUAAACGAUAAAGAUGUCGGGAACACAAAAGAAAUCAUUUAUUCUUUCAUGGACUCUUCUUGAAGUCAAAGUCGUAGCUGCUAGAAGACAGUCUGAUUAUACCUAUUGUAUAUCGAACAAAGCUAAAUACUACUAUUGUUAUUUGAUGUGCAAAGUUUCUGCGCGUAAACUAUAAAUGACAUUUCUUAUAAUUAGAUCGAACAUUAGAUUGGAUUAGGGCUGUAUAUGAAUAAGGUACGGCGUAGAACGAAACCAGUUGCGAGAAUGUUUUCACUUGAGCGUUAACGAAGCUGUGUUUAUUUGGUUUGAAUAACAAUUACCCAUCGUCACGGAAAAGUUACAAAAAAUGCCCAAAGUGGAUAAGGUGAAAAACAACACACUCGAGAAAAUUUAAAUCAUAGCAAAACAGCUAUUAAGAGAAAGAAAGAAAAAAAUCUUUAUGCAAUAAUGUUAAACCUAUCUAUAAUUUUACAUAGAGAACAAUUCAUUUAUAAGUAUUUCCUUUUAGCCACCUAAGCAGAAAAUAUAAAAUCCCCAUAAAUUGGCUGAUUAUCAAUAUGGAAAAUGAAAUAUCUAUGACUACAAUAUGUGUAAAAAUCAUAUGGUUAUAACGAAUCUGAUGAAAUAUGCCCGAUCAGAGGAAAGUCAGAAACAAUGCAAAGAACAAAGUACUUUAAAUUCAAAAAAUAGUACAUUUUAUAGUCUUAGUUGUAUUAGAAAUAUUUCAAGGUUUUAUAUGUCCAAUUUAUUUUAAAUCUGUAUAUGAACGUGCGCUAGAUGUUGAUCAUAGAAACAUUACAUUAUGGCUAUAUUAUAUUGAAAUAGAAAUGCGCAAUAAUUA
Molecule: long non-coding RNA, 1136 nt
Organism: Vespa mandarinia (Asian giant hornet)
Lineage: Eukaryota; Metazoa; Arthropoda; Insecta; Hymenoptera; Vespidae
Source: RefSeq, a predicted model, not a curated record